CAGUGGAUGGAGAAGACCGGGGUACUGAAGCAUCUUUUCCCGUUUGACAUGUAAACCAGGGGUGGGUUGUAAAGGUUUAUGUUAUGGUCAAUGUAAGGUUGCUUUCAUGUCAAGUUAGAACAAUGUCAAUGAAAACGUGUUGAUAGUCGAGGAACAUUACCGAGGGGUGAAGGCUGUUAAUGAGGUUUUCUGUUACUGGAUUGCCUGAGUAAAAUCUCCUAACAAAACUGAAGUCCCAAAGAAGUGCUUUGCAUUUAAAGAACAUCCUUGUGCCAGUGUAUGAGAUAGAUUAACAUAUAUUCAACAAUAAAUUGACAGCAACACUCUUGGUCAGUGUCAAAUCUUUACAGUUUAUUACAUUUAUCAAAACAUUUUUAUUUUAUUCUCAGUUGUAUAAAACCACUUCACGUCAUGCUAAUAAAGCAUAUAUUUCACCUUUUGGAAACGAUUUGAAUAACAGCAAGUAAAAGUACACAUGGCCAAAAUGAUUAAAUAAAACCUUUCUGAAAAAAAUCUAAGCCAACCUGUUUCAAUGACUAGUGCACAUUAAGAAGUAUUUAAAGCUUGAAUUAAUAAUCUCUUUUAGAAGAAUACAGAAUUUGGUCGAAUGAGCUCAAAAUCAUAAGGGUCUGUUAAUCUAUCUCACAAAAGUGUAAUCCCUCUGCAGUGAGAACACUAAUGAAAAGCAUCCAAUGAACUUAGCCAACUGAGGAUCAUCGAUUAGACUACAUGAGAAAAUGGGAAGAACAUCAUUAGCACUGGAAAAUUAUCUGUGACCUUUAUUGCCACAGAACAAACGUGCAGAACUUAAGACCCGAUACAUAUUUUACCUGCUUAGUCUGUUUAAGGUUUAUAACACUGUCAGCAAUUACACUUGGCUUGUUUACUGACUGUUCAGGAAUCAUAUCAGAAGAGUGGUUAGAAAUGUCAAAAUUCAAACAGAGGUCAAAAGAUACUUCAAAAUAUUAAUAAUGCCUGGUAUUAAGCUAACUGUUCUUUGGAUUAAUACCAGGGAAAUUCUUGCGAUAUUAGACCACUCAUCUGUUCCCUCUUCAUAGCUCUUAAUGUAUGACCUUUGUAACCUUCAACUGCACUUAAUUUGAAAUAAAAGCACACAAAGCCUGCAUCACUCAUUACCCAUUGUCCUCUGCGACAUGCACACAGCAUUAGGCCUGCCCCCAUCACCAUCAUUAAAUACCUUUAGACGAUUCUCACUUAAUGCAUAUACAAUACCACCCGCCCAUAAAUUGCACUUUCUGAUGACCGGAACUUGCCCUGAGCACUUCUGUCUUCAUUGUAGGAAAACAAAACAGACUGUAAUAUAAGAAUGUAAGAGACGGUGAUGGACUGAAGACCCGUACAGGGAAGUGAGCUGCUCGCUGGGUGCUGCUGGUGCAUCCCCAGCCUGCCUGUGAUCCAGGGCCAGGCCUGUGCCCAGCAGGUGGAGUGUUUCUGGCCCCUUUCCUCUGACACGGUCCCUCAGCAGGGGCGACCGACCGCGAGGCCUGGAUCAGCACAGAGGGCUGUUGUGUCGAAUCCGCUCCCGUUUGCCUUGGCCCGGACUGUUGUCGGAGCGGGCCUGGCAACGGAGGCUGCGGGUCCAGUUACGCUCCGCCCCGGCCUUCCCCCUCACCCCCCGCUGGUGAAAGGAGUGGGUUGACUCAAAGACCAUAGAAGAAGAAAAUGAAACGGCUCUAAUGAACCCAGACAAGGAAUGAGCCCUUUCACAUUAGCGGACGAUUGCCACUUUGAAGUCUCCCUCCAAGAUGGGCAGUGAGCGCCGCAUUGAUCGACUGCUGAUAACCGCCACUGAUCCGGCCCAGCUGAAAAAGGGGUGCAUUAAGGAAGCUGGCCACCCACUCUGAGUUGCAUAAUCAUUAACGGACGGGUGGAGGCGUGGGGGAGGGAGUGUCUGGGGAUGUGGGUAAUGUCUGUGCCUGUAUCGCUUUGUCAUAUUCGGGGUUCCUGGAGGAAACGGCAGCUCAGGCACCGGCUCUCGGAAUUGACUCGGGAGGCGUGUGAGCGUGAAAAGGAAGUUUGAGUGUUGCCUUGGUCACACCCGCCUCCUGGGAGGGAUGCUGCCUGUUGUGGCUGUCCUGGCGUCCUGUUCUGAUUGAUUUGACAUGUACAUUCCGUCACUCUCAAGACCUGACACCUGACAACUGUUGCGUACAUAUAUUGACUGUACAGCAAUACAGUUCAAAGUUCCUUUUGAGCAACUGUUGUGGGAUUGUCAAAUGAUUCAUUUAUAUGUGCUAUAAUCUUGCACUCAAGAAGAUGAGGUUUUUAAAUCGUGUACUUGCCAAAAAUUGUGAGGCAAAAAUAGUCCCAUUCAUUUCAUAAGAGCAGGGCAUCUUUUCUUUUUAAUUGUAUCACAGAAUGAAUGGAAGAAUGUAAUUCAAAGCCAUCGCGGUGCCUAAUUGAGUCAUUUCAAAUAUGCUCCUGCUAACUUCUAUAAAUAUUGCGUUGAUUCCUGGCUGUUGAAUUGAUGUCCUUUCUAUUGUGUGCACUGUUUUUAUAAAUGGAUCGUGGCAAUGCCACAUUUGGUCAUUUCCUCCAAUUCUUUUUCCCCGGACUCCUUUCGUGAUCAAAGGGACAUUCAGAGGAUAUGACCAAAUUUGCAUGCAACUCAUUUGUAA
Anguilla rostrata (American eel) is the source of this 2639-nucleotide long non-coding RNA. RefSeq lists it as uncharacterized. The record is from RefSeq and is a predicted model, not a curated record. NCBI's taxonomy places the organism in Eukaryota, Metazoa, Chordata, Actinopteri, Anguilliformes, Anguillidae. The transcript has 2 exons.